GCGGGAGGGGGCGGAGGAGGGGCGCGCCGCGCUGGCCGGGCCGCGCGCAGGCGCAGAACGCGGGAGCCGGGCCACGGCCGCCGCAGAGCGCC
RNAcentral lists this microRNA precursor (92 nucleotides) under Otolemur garnettii (small-eared galago). RNAcentral's name for it is "miRNA (ENSOGAG00000024474.1)". Lineage: Eukaryota; Metazoa; Chordata; Mammalia; Primates; Galagidae. The record is from RNAcentral.